GCUCAGCAGAAUUUUAGCUCAGUUGGUUAGAGCAUGGUGCUGAUAAGGCCCAGGUUGCAGGUUUGAUUCCCAUAUGGAACA
Molecule: non-coding RNA, 81 nt
Organism: Podarcis lilfordi (Lilford's wall lizard)
Lineage: Eukaryota; Metazoa; Chordata; Lepidosauria; Squamata; Lacertidae
Source: the annotation of a GenBank genome assembly